Molecule: long non-coding RNA, 871 nt
Filed under: Mytilus galloprovincialis (Mediterranean mussel)
Lineage: Eukaryota; Metazoa; Mollusca; Bivalvia; Mytilida; Mytilidae
Source: RNAcentral
UUAAUUUUUACCAAGUCAAUGAAACAGCAAUUUUCAUUUAAAAGUAAAGAAAUUCAAGGCAUAAACGAUAUAUUUUCUUCUAAAAGAUUUUUAAGCUGGUGGCAUGCUUUUCAUACUUGUCAAGUUACACGAGAGCGUACAUCAAAUCAUUCUAACUUACGGCAAAAUCAGUUAUUACUUCAUCAGAACUUGAUGAAAUUAGCCUCAAGUUAACUUGUCAUCCAUGUAUUGCAUUAGAAACGUCAUAUUCCUUUCCAAAUAGCGUAUCAAACAUCGUUUAUUUUUGUAAAUUUUUCUUCGUCCGACAUUUAAAUUUGUAGAACUACGGAUUGGAAUCGGGAUUUCAUCGGAAACGGACCCGCUAUGACCGAAAUCCGGAUUCUUGCGAUAAUGACUACAGACGCAUGAAUGGCACUGCUGACAGACAAAAAUUGAUCCCAAAAGGGAAAAUUACGCAUUCCACACGCAUUAACAUACUUUUGGUUAGAUCUUCUUGAUUAAUGUAUAUAUUUCCAUGUAUAAGCAUUGUUUCAAUUUAUAGGUUAAAGUUGCUUAACUCUGGGACUAUUACACCAGAGACAUAUAUACAAAUGUGUAUAUAUAUGUCUGCAUACACUAAGAGGUUCCUGACUGGGUGACUGGUAUAUACAUAUAUAGUGUAUAUGCAGCGAGGUUGAUAUAUUUGAGUGGUGCCAUGGAUCUAUAUUAGUGGAAAUACAGAAUCAAAACAUAGUUUUUUAAGUUUAUAUUAAUAGAAGGGUAAACCAGAGACAUAUAUAAACAAUAUGUAUUUAUAUUUCUCUGGGUUAAUAUGCUGGUCUGUUCUCAUUCAUUGUUCUUGUAUUUUGAUAAAUUCUAAAAAAAAUAAAAA